GACACGCUGGCGGCGUGCCUCAAACAUGCAAGUCGAGCGGACGGAGACCGAACCGCAAGGGGAGGUCGAAGUUAGCGGCGAACGGGUGAGUAACACGUGGGUAACCUACCCUAAAGUCUGGGACAACGGCCCGAAAGGGCCGCUAAUACCGGAUAAUGUCUUCGGGUCGCAUGGCCUGGGGAAGAAAGCCGAAAGGCGCUUAUGGAUGGGCUCGCGUCCCAUCAGCUAGUUGGUAAGGUAACGGCUUACCAAGGCGACGACGGGUAGCUGGUCUGAGAGGAUGGUCGGCCACACUGGGACUGAGAUACGGCCCAGACUCCUACGGGAGGCAGCAGUUGGGAAUAUUGGGCAAUGGGCGAAAGCCUGACCCAGCGACGCCGCGUGAGGGAAGAAGGCCUUCGGGUCGUAAACCUCUGUCAUCGGGGACGAAGAAAGUGACGGUACCCGAGGAGGAAGCCCCUGCUAACUACGUG
This 473-nucleotide ribosomal RNA is filed under the name uncultured bacterium. Its description in RNAcentral is "bacterial SSU rRNA". It matches the Rfam family "Bacterial small subunit ribosomal RNA", at positions 33 to 507 of the family's 1533-position model. The record is from RNAcentral.